Molecule: ribosomal RNA, 467 nt
Filed under: uncultured ciliate
Lineage: Eukaryota; Ciliophora
Description: SSU rRNA
Rfam family: Eukaryotic small subunit ribosomal RNA
Source: RNAcentral
AUUUGUCUGGUUAAUUCCGAUAACGAACGAGACCUUAACCUGCUAACUAGUUCAUAAUACUCUGUAUUUUGCAACUUCUUAGAGGGACUAUGUAAAUCAAUUACAUGGAAGUUUGAGGCAAUAACAGGUCAGUGAUGCCCUUAUAUGUCCUGGGCUGCACGCGUGCUACACUGAUGCAUACAACAAGUGCCUAGCCAGACAUGGUAUGGCAAUCUCGAAUAUGCAUCGUGAUGGGGAUAGAUCUUUGCAAUUAUAGAUCUUGAACGAGGAAUUCCUAGUAAGUGCAAGUCAUCACCUUGCAUUGACUAUGUCCCUGCCCUUUGUACACACCGCCCGUCGCUCCUACCGAUACCGGGUGAUCCGGUGAACCUUUUGGACUCUGUAAAGGGGAAGAUAAGUAAACCAUAUCACCUAUAGGAAGGAGAAGUCGUAACAAGGUUUUCGUAUGUGAACCUGCRGAAGGAUCA